RNAcentral lists this unclassified non-coding RNA (363 nucleotides) under Hevea brasiliensis (rubber tree). Lineage: Eukaryota; Viridiplantae; Streptophyta; Magnoliopsida; Malpighiales; Euphorbiaceae. The record is from RNAcentral.
CAGCAAGCUCGUUUUCGACACCGUCGAGCGUAUUGUUGAUAAAUCCGAUGAUGUUUCUUAUGCUUAUUUUAGAAGAACUGGAUUGGAACGAUCAGGGGUUCUUGCAAAAGACCUUGAGUGGUUUAGCCAACAGGAUAUUGCUAUUCCUAAACCUAGUACUCCUGGAGUUUCAUAUGCCAAAUAUUUGGAGGAUCUUGCAGAGAAGAGUGCCCCUUUGUUUCUCUGCCAUUUCUAUAAUAUAUAUUUCUCACACAUAGCAAGUGGUCAAGUGAUAGCAAGACAGGUCUCUGAGAAGCUUCUAGAAGGGAGAGAUUUGGAAUUUUACAGAUGGGAGGGAGAUGUUCAAGAAUUGCUGAAGUGGAC